UUCUGCUACCGGUUAUUUUAAAUUGUCGCUUAUAUCACUGUGUGAAACAAUAUUUUGAAAUAAUUUUAACACAAGAAACAACAAAAAUCGAAUUUCUAUCUAAAUUGUAAUACAAAUAACAAUUUUCUAGAACGUUUUAAACGAUGUUAGCCGUAAAACUUACCGCAGAUCAAUAAACGUCUGUGAACUUACAUAUAUACAACUCUCUUUCUCUAUAAACGUGAACUUAUGUAUGCAGAACAGUACAAGUCUGAUCUAACUUUAGAAAUUGAUUUUGUAUCCAAAUAGCGCUACUGCAAAGUAGAUAAUUUAUAUAUAUCUAAAAAUAAUAGCUUAUGCAUUAAACCAAUUGAAGGAAGGAAAUAUGCAAACAGUACGAUUGUUAUCAGGGUAUGACAUGCCUACUGUGGGUUUGGGUACAUGGCAGGCUAAACCUGAAGAAAUUGAAAAAGUUGUGAUAGCUGCUCUAGAUGCUGGCUAUAAACACAUUGAUACUGCAUUUAAUUAUAAUAAUGAAGAAGCAAUAGGAGCGGUAUUAAAAGAAUGGUUUAGAAAAGGUGGGAAGCGCGAAGAUCUUUUUAUUACUUCAAAGUUACCUAAUUUUGGUAAUCGACCAUCAGAUGUAGAGAAGUUUAUUAAUUUAUCACUGAAAAGACUUGGUUUAGAUUAUUUGGAUAUGUAUUUAAUCCACAUGCCUUUUGCCUUUAAAUUAGAUGAAAGUACUUGUACCUCAGCAAUUAAUGAAGAUGGAAGUUUUAUGUUGGAUCUUGAUACAGAUCCUGUUUCAGUGUGGAAGGAAAUGGAAGAACAAGUAAGAAAAGGUCGUACAAAGUCUAUAGGUUUAAGUAACUUUAAUGAAAAACAAAUUUUAAAUAUAUGGGAGAAUGCACAAAUUAAGCCAAGUAACUUACAAGUGGAAUUGCAUGCAUACCUGCAACAAAAUUCGCUACGGCAAUUGUGUCAAACGCACAAUAUCAUUAUAACAGCCUACAGCCCCUUGGGAUCACCAGGAGCUAAAACGCAUUUUCAAACGAAAUAUAAUCAUAAUGUUGAAGACUUUCCAGAUGUUCUGGGACAUCCAAUAGUACAAAAAAUAAGCGCAGAACAUAAACGAUCACCAGCACAAGUUUUACUACGUUACUCAUUACAAUUAAAUGUUGUUGUAAUUCCAAAAAGUAAAUCUCCCGAGAGAGUUAAGGCAAACAUUGAUUUAUUUAGUUUUUCAUUAAAUGAAGAAGAAAUGAAAAUUUUGAGUACCUUAGACAAAGGUGUACGUGGAAGAAUUUUUAAUUUCUUGUUUUUUAAGGGGGUCGAGAAUCAUCCACAUUAUCCAUUUAAGGAUGAAUUACAGUCCUAGAUAAAAAAAAACAUUAUUAAGGUGUAGUUCGAAUUGUAAUCUGUACAACAUUUUACGUUGCAUACGAUGCUGAAGUUCUCCACGUCGUAUCAUUGUGUGUAUAACUUUGUAAAUAGCACGUUCUGGAUAUGCUUGUUUUACAAAAUCUUUAACAAUAUUUUGCUCUGAUACUUGAUUUCCAAUAGGAAAUCUACGUUUCAAUUGUUUUUCGAUACGUGAUAACAUUUCAUGAUCUUCAUCCGAGAUUACCAGCUAAAGACCCUGACAUUGCAGCAUCUAAAGUAGAUACUUGGAAAAGUCUAAGCGCUUCGUUCACGUGGAUUUGUGUAGCGAAAGGUUGUAAUUGCAUUUUAGCUAAAGAUUCUGAAAUUCUUAUAACAGCUUCC
RNA transcript from Bombus pyrosoma, 1743 nucleotides. It is a transcript of the gene named aldo-keto reductase family 1 member A1-like, with no coding region annotated. The transcript is spliced from 9 exons. Lineage: Eukaryota; Metazoa; Arthropoda; Insecta; Hymenoptera; Apidae. The record is from RefSeq and is a predicted model, not a curated record.